GGCGCAAGCCUGAUGCAGCGACGCCGCGUGAGGGAUGACGGCCUUCGGGUUGUAAACCUCUGUUAGCAUCGAAGAAGCGAAAGUGACGGUAGGUGCAGAGAAAGCGCCGGCUAACUACGUGCCAGCAGCCGCGGUAAUACGUAGGGCGCGAGCGUUGUCCGGAAUUAUUGGGCGUAAAGAGCUUGUAGGCGGUUGGUCGCGUCUGCUGUGAAAGGCUGGGGCUUAACCCUGGUUUUGCAGUGGGUACAGGCUAACUAGAGUGCAGUAGGGGAGACUGGAAUUCCUGGUGUAGCGGUGGAAUGCGCAGAUAUCAGGAGGAACACCGAUGGCGAAGGCAGGUCUCUGGGCUGUAACUGACGCUGAGAAGCGAAAGCAUGGGGAGCGAACAGGAUUAGAUACCCUGGUAGUCCAUGCCGUAAACGUUGGGCACUAGGUGUGGGGGACAUUCCACGUUUUCCGCGCCGUAGCUAACGCAUUAAGUGCCCCGCCUGGGGGUACGGCCGCAAGGCUAAAACUCAAAGAAAUUGACGGGGGCCCGCACAAGCGGCGGAGCAUGCGGAUUAAUUCGAUGCAACGCGAAGAACCU
This 586-nucleotide ribosomal RNA is filed under the name Rothia dentocariosa. Its description in RNAcentral is "bacterial SSU rRNA". It matches the Rfam family "Bacterial small subunit ribosomal RNA", at positions 374 to 971 of the family's 1533-position model. Lineage: Bacteria; Bacillati; Actinomycetota; Actinomycetes; Micrococcales; Micrococcaceae. The record is from RNAcentral.